This 392-nucleotide ribosomal RNA is filed under the name uncultured bacterium. RNAcentral's name for it is "partial 16S ribosomal RNA". It matches the Rfam family "Bacterial small subunit ribosomal RNA", at positions 523 to 918 of the family's 1533-position model. The record is from RNAcentral.
AUACGUAGGUGGCAAGCGUUGUCCGGAUUUAUUGGGUUUAAAGGGCGCGUAGGCGGGAGCUUAAGUCAGCGGCUAAAUGGUGCGGCUCAACCGUGCCCUGCCGUUGAAACUGGGUUUCUUGAGAGUGCAAGAGGCGGAUGGAAUUCAUGGUGGAGCGGUGACAUGCUUAGAUAUCAUGAAGAAAUCCGAUUGCAAGGGCACGCCGCUAUGGCACGUAUGUCGCUGAUGCUCGCAGAUGCUAGGAUCACACAGGUUUAGAUACCCCGUUAGUCUGGAGCGUAAACGAUGAUUACCCGAUGUCAGCGGUAGGCAGUCGACGGCCAAGCGACAGCAAUAAGGAAUCCACCUGGGGAGUACGCCAUCAACGGUGAAACUUAAAGGAAUUGACGGGU